GUGGGGAAUCUUGCGCAAUGGGCGAAAGCCUGACGCAGCCAUGCCGCGUGGAUGAUGAAGGUCUUAGGAUUGUAAAAUCCUUUCACCGGUGAAGAUAAUGACUGUAGCCGGAGAAGAAGCCCCGGCUAACUUCGUGCCAGCAGCCGCGGUAAUACGAAGGGGGCUAGCGUUGCUCGGAUUUACUGGGCGUAAAGGGCGCGUAGGCGGACAUUUAAGUAAGGGGUGAAAUCCCGGGGCUCAACCUCGGAACUGCCUUUGAUACUGGGUGUCUUGAGUAUGAGAGAGGUGUGUGGAACUCCGAGUGUAGAGGUGAAAUUCGUAGAUAUUCGGAAGAACACCAGUGGCGAAGGCGACACACUGGCUCAUUACUGACGCUGAGGCGCGAAAGCGUGGGGAGCAAACAGGAUUAGAAACCCCGGUAGUCC
Molecule: ribosomal RNA, 425 nt
Filed under: uncultured bacterium
Lineage: Bacteria
Description: partial 16S ribosomal RNA
Rfam family: Bacterial small subunit ribosomal RNA
Source: RNAcentral